Molecule: ribosomal RNA, 426 nt
Filed under: uncultured bacterium
Lineage: Bacteria
Description: bacterial SSU rRNA
Rfam family: Bacterial small subunit ribosomal RNA
Source: RNAcentral
GUGGGGAAUAUUGCACAAUGGGGGAAACCCUGAUGCAGCAACGCCGCGUGGAGGAAGAAGGUCUUCGGAUUGUAAACUCCUGUCUUCUGGGACGAAGAAUGACGGUACCAGAGGAGGAAGCCACGGCUAACUACGUGCCAGCAGCCGCGGUAAUACGUAGGUGGCGAGCGUUGUCCGGAAUUACUGGGCGUAAAGGGCGCGUAGGCGGCCUGUUAAGUCAGAUGUGAAAACCCCGGGCUCAACCUGGGGAGUGCAUUUGAAACUGAUGGGCUAGAGUGUCGGAGAGGGAAGCGGAAUUCCUAGUGUAGCGGUGAAAUGCGUAGAUAUUAGGAGGAACACCAGUGGCGAAGGCGGCUUUCUGGACGAUAACUGACGCUGAGGCGCGAAAGCGUGGGGAGCAAACAGGAUUAGAAACCCUAGUAGUCC